CUACCCCACACAGUCCUUUGCGAUUUUCCUCUCCCACUUUGGGAGCCAGUGGAUGAAGAGGGUGGAACCAUAGAAUAGAAGGAACCCAGAUACAGAUCACUGUUCAGAGGAGAGCUGCCUGCCAGUCAGGAAGACCCAUUUUGGACUUUAUAAAUGCUCUGACCUUAAAAGGAAUAUUGGAGGCAGGAGGAAACAGAGGAAGCAAGAAGAAUUUCCUGGAAGGUAAUUAUUGUAAUAUAAGCAUACUUCGGAGAUAUUGCAGGUUCCGUUCCAGACCACUGCAACAGUGAAUAUCUCAAUCAAGAAGAUGACCACGGCCCCUCUGUUCCCUCGCCUGUGUGCCAAAUGGAUCCACAGCUAGAGACAAGCUCCUUCCCUUUGAACGGUGGGAAGCAGGCCAAGAUGUUUUAAAGACAGAUGGCAUCAGAUGCAGAGAAGCAAGCUGGAACUCGGAGCACAGCUGCCUUAUUUACUUACCUACUGGCUGCAUUUCUGAGAACCAGUUUUAUUCCUGUUCAAAGGAAGCCAGGCAGAGUUGGGAAAAUAUUUUCCUAGCCAGCUCCUUAGCACCACUGUCUGAGGGAAACCAUCUGGCCAAGAUGCCCUUCAACAUCACCGAGAACUACUGCCAUCAGCUAUAUAAUGAAACUAUUUUUAAGCAACAACAACAGCAGCAGAGAAGAGGGACCAACAGGGUCCAAUGCAUCAGAGGGGUCCAAACUGGUAAGCACUGAAAAAUAUCUAUUGAAUCGGACAAUUAGGAGGACUAACCUCCUCAAGAGUAAGUUCCUGCAGUUUGCUGGAUAAAGGGCAUCAGAGCGCCGUGGGUUGGGUUGAGGACAUCUUCUCCCUUACAGCCUCCUGGUUCUUCUCUCAGAAAAACUUCUCCUCCUUCCCAGCUCAAUCCUAUUUAUUUAUUUUAAAAUUUAUUGUGUAUAUUUAAGGUAUACAACAUGCUGUUAUAGGAUACACAUAGUUAGUAAAAUAUUUACUAUAGCAAAGCAAAUGAACAUCUCUGUCGUCUCCGCACAGUUACCCAUUUUUGUUGCUUUUGUGGCAAGAGCAGCUACAAUCUAGUCAUUUAGUAGGAAUCCCAAGUACAGUGCGAUUUUAUGACCUACAACCAUCAUGGUGUACAUUAGAUCUCUCCACACACCUGUUACAUUGUAUCCUCUGACCUACGUCUUCCCAUUUCUUCCUCCCAUUCCUCCCCAGCCUGCUUCCACCCCAGUAACUGCUGUUUUAUUAUCUGCGUCUGCACAUUUGAUUUUGUUUUUAGAUUCCACAUGUAAGUGACAUCAUGCACUAUUUUUUUUUCCUGUCUGACGCAUUUCACUCAGCAUAGUGUCUUCCAGGUUAAUCCAUGUUGUGCCAAACGACAGGACCUUCUUUUUAAAGGCUGAAUAAUAUUCCAUUGUAUACAGAUGCCACAGUUUUUUAAAUCCAUUCCUCCAUCGACACUUGGGUGGUUCCAUAUCUUGACUAUUGUGAAGAAUGCUGCGUGAAAAUAGAAGUGCAGCCUGAGCUUUUGCUGCGAUCUCCAAAAAAUCAUUGCCAG
Molecule: long non-coding RNA, 1558 nt
Filed under: Homo sapiens (human)
Lineage: Eukaryota; Metazoa; Chordata; Mammalia; Primates; Hominidae
Description: HSALNT0297533
Source: RNAcentral